AUCCCAUGAUAACAGGUCUUGGUGCCACUUGAACCAUUGGAGAUGCUAAAAAUCCACAAAAUCAAAGUAUUAUUAGGAGAAAAAAUUAAAAAUUUAAGGACGUGAUGCAAUUUAUAAGUACAAGCUCUAUGUGUGUGAAAGUGUGUGUAUUUGCAUACCAGCGACAGAAGAGUUGGUGUGUUUCCCGUUAGAAGAAUUGUUAUGAGCCCCUAGGGGAACUUGAGAAGCA
RNAcentral lists this unclassified non-coding RNA (229 nucleotides) under Hevea brasiliensis (rubber tree). The record is from RNAcentral. Lineage: Eukaryota; Viridiplantae; Streptophyta; Magnoliopsida; Malpighiales; Euphorbiaceae.